This is a long non-coding RNA of Sciurus carolinensis (gray squirrel), 3206 nucleotides long. RefSeq lists it as uncharacterized. NCBI's taxonomy places the organism in Eukaryota, Metazoa, Chordata, Mammalia, Rodentia, Sciuridae. The record is from RefSeq and is a predicted model, not a curated record. The transcript has 3 exons.
AACAAAGGCGGGUGAAGAUAGCACCUGGACUCCAGCAGUGGCGUCUGGGAGAGGAGGAGGGACGCAGGACUGAGCGAGCAGCAGUGCUGGGGGUGAAGAUCGUUCCACAACGGAGGUGGCGAACUCAGCUCUGACUCUCCGGGGGCCAGAGGAUCCUGAUCACAGCUCACUCCUGACUUUGGCUGACUUUGGACAAGUGUGCCCUCUCUGGGAGCCAGUUUCACUCUUUGGAAGAGACGGCUGCGCCCAAGAGCAUCAGAGAAAAGGUAACUAUGAAGAACUCAAGAUGUACCCUGGUCCUCAGAAAAAGAGAAAGAAACGAAGGCACUCAGGCCACCUGCUGGGAACUGUGGACACAGGAGGAAGCGACCACUUUUCUCUGACAUCUUCUGGUGGCCUCCUGGUGUAUUCUUUGCCUUGUGGGACUUUGGCUGACAGUUCCAUUCACACUUGAGUCUACGGCAAUGGGGGCCCGGGUAUCAACCUAGAAAACAAGCAAUCAGCUUAAGGAAGGUGCAUAGGAGUGAGGCUGUGCCCUUGUGUGACCUUCGAGGGUGAUGUGGAAGCCUGGAGGCUGGUGGAACCCGGAGGCCACAUCUGCACUGCAGCCUGAAGGCCAUCUUGUGUCCUCACCGCCUCACACACAUCCAUGGGAAGCAGUGACCGUUGUCCUGCACGCUUGCCUGAGGAGGAGCCUUUGAGGAGGCUCAGCUGGUUUCUAACUAUGCCCCACAUCUGAACACCACUCUUAGCAAGAGCAGGUCUCUAUCCAUAUUCGCUGAGUGUGUGAACAUGACUCGGCUUUUAUGCAACUCGGUUCCAAUUUGCAGUUUGCAUUUGCUGCACAGUGUAACAAUACACAGACAGCUAAGGCCAGCUCGUGGCGUCAGGGAGGGUGGCAUGACCUGUCAGACCUGUCCCCUGGGUGGGCAGUGUCCACAGCUCCCAUCGUGGUCUUCCACCAACGUGGAUGCUAGCCUUGGAAUAUCCAGUCCUCGACUAAGUCCUUGGCAUGCCGUUUUCCCAAGUGAAGAGGACUUGGAUGGGAGGAAAGAAGGACAGAGGGGAUGAGAGGGACAGAGGUCACCACUGGAUGAACAUCACUGUUGCUGUACAAAAGAUGGUGUCACAGGUCGGGAGGAAGGUCCAGGCCCUGCUCUCCUUGGCACGACUUCUCCCUUCCUCCCUAGGUCAGGCAGAGCUGGGUUCUGCAGAUGCCAUUUUGCCCUCUGGGGUAGGUUAACCUGUGCUUUGAUUUCCUUGCAGGUAAAGUGAGAAUGAUUGAGUGUGAAGGGGAGGGUGGAAGGCAAGCAUGGGCGGAUCGUCAAGUGGAGUCUCGGACUGAUCCUGCAUUGCAGGGACCGGGUGGGGAGGAUGGAAGUUACGAGGCUCUGUAGUCCCACCUCAGUCCUCUGAAAAGAGCCCUCAGUGCCCAGGUUGGACCCCAGCACACAGGAGCUGGGGGAACCCAGAGAACCAGUGGGAAGGGACCUGAGCGGAAUCCAUGGUGCAGACUGGGUGUGCCUUGAAGGGUCAGGUGACAACUGCGUUCAAGUCCCCAGGGAUGGACUCUGGUGUCACACAAGCACUUCUGGAUGUUUGCUGCUACAAUUAAUUUUUUUAAAGAUGUCCUUCCCUGUAUUAGAGUCACUGUUCCCACGGCUUCAUUCCAAGCAGGGGUUAUAAACCCAAAUGUCAAUUCCAGAAACUGCCAGGAGAAAGGUGAGGACGAGGUGGGGUGGGCCAGCCCGGAGCACACCUGUGCCUCGGAAGACCUGGCGUCCAGGUGGGUGUUUACCAAACAGCGGGCUCCAAUGGCAUUGAGCAGGGCCAAAGCAAACACGGCGGCUGGUGACCGUCUGUGGUGUCACAUGACUUCCUCUGCACCCUUCUCGGAACCUCCCCCUUGAGGAGUCUGGUUCCCACAGGAAAGGGCCGGUCUGGCUGCCUGGGAAGCCGGAAGGGGCACAGCGGCUUUUAACCGCUGCUCUGUGCUGGGCACCUGGCUGCGGCAGCUUCUGGUGAAGUCCUUUCUGCGGCAAGGUGUCUGGAGCCAGAUCCUGUGGGGGUCUGGUCAGCACUGCUCAGGGUGUCCUCUAACGGCACGAGAGCCUGUGCCGUGGGCAGCGAGGGGGCGCUGGCCGUGUCCACCUAAAGCGGGUCUGUUGAAGAUGACCAAGUUCUACGCAGGGUGCUGCCCACAUUAGUGAGGGACUCUGUGUGUGUGUGAGGGAGGGGGUGGGGAGAACACACCCUUGCCAUUCCUUUGUCCUCCACUGACCUGGGCCUGUGGAACCGACUGUUCACCCGCCUCUAGGCUUAGUCAUUGAAGGUGGGGGUUUGUGUGCAAGAGGAAAUAAGACGCGGUCCCGGGGAACAGGGUGGACAUUCAAAGAGCUACGAGGCCCGUGGUGGUGGAUAAUGAAACCUUGGCCUGUGAAGAUGCCCAGAGGAGCUGGAGGAGGGAAGGCGGAAGGUCUCGAGGCCAGGGUAGGUCCUGGGUUGUACACUGGCAUGACUCUUGUGUGGCUUGUCCAUUGCCUUCCCUUGAUUGCUUGGCUUUAUCUGACAUUAAUGCCUUUUUAUGACUAGAAUUUAAUGUGUUCAUCAUAGAAAAUCCGAGGGAAUCAAGAUUCCAUUCUCUUACACCCAGAGGAAGUUACAGUCAACACUUGGGACUUUUUCUUUCCAGAUACACAAAUGUUCACUUUCCUAGGACAUUUCUAUGUUUGAAACUUGUGUGGAGCUUUUCCAUCUGACGCUGUGUCUUCCCUCCAUACCAUCAAGGACUGGCUUGCAACAUGUUUUUAAUGGCUGUGUCAUUUCAUCACACAGAUGUACUGUGAUUUACUUACUCAAACUCUCGUUUUCUCCCUGAGAUCUGCCUCCUUGCCCUUAACCCAACUAAAGCCAGACUCUUAAAGCUACCCAGGGCCCCAGAAACCCGCUCAUGUUCUCUGUUGUCCCAAGCAUUUCCAGAAACCGUGGGAAGACCAAAGCGGCAUUCUAGCUCAGCUCCUGAGGUGCCAGCCCAGCUCCAGGAGACCACAGCCAUCGGACACUUGCCGCAGGUGCGUUGGCAGGAAGGUGAGCUUGGAGCAGAAAGAGUUCCAAUGGCCAGACCGCAGCAGCAAACCCUUCUCCUCCAGGCCUCUUCCAGCAAGUGAAAGAAGCCAUGGAACUCGCAGGCUUGCUUGGAAAGUCGA